AACGUAGGAGACAAACGUUAUCCGGAGUUACUGGGCGUAAAGGGCGUGUAGGUGGUUUCGUAAGUCUGGCGUGAAAUUUUUCGGCUUAACCGGGAAAGGUCGUCGGAUACUGCGGGACUAGAGGACGGUAGAGGCGUGUGGAAUUCCGGGUGUAGUGGUGAAAUGCGUAGAGAUCCGGAGGAACACCGGUGGCGAAGGCGGGUCUCUGGGCCGAUACUGACGCUGAGGAGCGAAAGCGUGGGGAGCGAACAGG
Molecule: ribosomal RNA, 253 nt
Filed under: uncultured bacterium
Lineage: Bacteria
Description: partial 16S ribosomal RNA
Rfam family: Bacterial small subunit ribosomal RNA
Source: RNAcentral